Molecule: ribosomal RNA, 496 nt
Filed under: uncultured bacterium
Lineage: Bacteria
Description: partial 16S ribosomal RNA
Rfam family: Bacterial small subunit ribosomal RNA
Source: RNAcentral
GAUGAACGCUGGCGGCGUGCCUAAUACAUGCAAGUCGAGCGAACAGACGAGGAGCUUGCUCCUCUGACGUUAGCGGCGGACGGGUGAGUAACACGUGGAUAACCUACCUAUAAGACUGGGAUAACUUCGGGAAACCGGAGCUAAUACCGGAUAAUAUAUUGAACCGCAUGGUUCAAUAGUGAAAGACGGUUUUGCUGUCACUUAUAGAUGGAUCCGCGCCGCAUUAGCUAGUUGGUAAGGUAACGGCUUACCAAGGCAACGAUGCGUAGCCGACCUGAGAGGGUGAUCGGCCACACUGGAACUGAGACACGGUCCAGACUCCUACGGGAGGCAGCAGUAGGGAAUCUUCCGCAAUGGGCGAAAGCUUGACGGAGCAACGCCGCGUGAGUGAUGAAGGGCUUCGGAUCGUAAAACUCUGUUAUUAGGGAAGAACAAAUGUGUAAGUAACUAUGCACGUCUUGACGGUACCUAAGCAGAAAGCCACGGCUAACUACGU